This 374-nucleotide unclassified non-coding RNA is filed under the name uncultured fungus. RNAcentral's name for it is "partial contains small subunit ribosomal RNA, internal transcribed spacer 1, and 5.8S ribosomal RNA". The stretch from base 1 to 73 matches the Rfam family "Eukaryotic small subunit ribosomal RNA", at positions 1759 to 1831 of the family's 1831-position model. The record is from RNAcentral. Lineage: Eukaryota; Fungi.
CCAAACUUGGUCAUUUAGAGGAAGUAAAAGUCGUAACAAGGUUUCCGUAGGUGAACCUGCGGAAGGAUCAUUAUUGAAGUUGAAUCGAGGGGUUGUAGCUGGCUCUCUUUCAGAGCAUGUGCACGCCUUUCGUCACUUUCUUACCACCUGUGCACCUUUGUAGACUUGGAUGGAUGUCUGAAACAUCUCAGUAUUCGUACUGGAUAGGGGUUUGCUCUUCGGCUUUCCCUGAAUUGAUGAUGUCCGUCUCUUGUCUAUGUUUUUCAUACACACUUUGAAUGUAUCAGAAUGUUUAUCAUGGGUCUUGUACCUAUAAACUUAAUACAACUUUCAACAACGGAUCUCUUGGCUCUCGCAUCGAUGAAGAACGCAGC